GUCUUUCGAGGUAAGGGAUGUUAUUUUCUUCUCUAAUGAUAUAAUUUCUUCAAUAUCAUUAUGCUGAAAUAUUGGUUGGAAUUUUUUUUUAUCAAAUUUGGAACUUUUUCAUGUCGGGGUUACUAUUCAUGAGUUACUAUUCACGAGUUACUAUUCACGAGUACUAUUCACGAAGCGUGAAGAUGUUUUUUGUGAAAUUUCUAUCUUUUGGUGUCGGAGUUACUAUUCAC
Molecule: long non-coding RNA, 230 nt
Filed under: Panax ginseng (ginseng)
Lineage: Eukaryota; Viridiplantae; Streptophyta; Magnoliopsida; Apiales; Araliaceae
Description: long non-coding RNA (PGIN_LNC006056)
Source: RNAcentral